Molecule: long non-coding RNA, 1105 nt
Organism: Oreochromis niloticus (Nile tilapia)
Lineage: Eukaryota; Metazoa; Chordata; Actinopteri; Cichliformes; Cichlidae
Exons: 5
Source: RefSeq, a predicted model, not a curated record
AGAUGGAAGCUUUACAACUAAAAUCCAGCAGACCAUCACUCUGUCAGACACACAUGAUGGAAAGAAGAUCAGCUGCUCUGCCAGAUAUCCUGUGAACCAAGGAAAGACACCAAGACAGCAGAGACAGAAGAGACUCUCAGUGUUUCAUAUGUUCCUAAAAACACCUCAGCAUCCAUCAGUCCAUCAGGUUUGGUGUCAGCAGGCAGCUGGGUGAAGCUGACCUGCUCCAGCAGAGCCAAACCUCCAGUCAGCAGCUUCACCUGGUUCAAGAAGAGCAGAGAUGGAGCUGUGAAAGUAUCUGAAGGAGAGAUUUACAGCUUCAAUGUAACAGAUGGAGGAGUUUAUUACUGUGUGGCCACUAAUGAUCUGGGUAAUCAGACAUCAGCAGAGAUUCAUGUGACUGUUGCAGGACAUCAGAAUAGUGGUUCUUUACCACUGAGUCUGCUUCUUGGAGGCAUCCUUGGGUUCAUCUUACUGAUCUGUUUGAUUAUCUUUGCUUUCACAGCUCUCAGGUUGUUAAAGUACCAAACUCAGCAAGAGACUCAGAGUCAAACAAGUGAAGAGCUGGUUGUUGAAGAGCCGACAAGUAAAACAGAAGGAGGGAAGAAAACAUCCAUUAUGGAGAGAUCAACUUCUCUGUGCUGGGAUAUGAAGCAUCCUCUGUCUCAGUGCAGGACACAGGACAGCAGCAGGAUACGGUGUACGCACAGGUGAAAGUCAACAAGCCAAAAAACAGCUUAACACAGAGAGCUCGUGGCCAAGAGGAACUCUACGCUGAGGUCAGAAAAAGUGAGAACAGCUGUGUUAAGACAUUAACAAAGAAAUACAGAGAUCAAUGAAGUAAACCCAACAAACCACUUCCUGCACAUUUUGGGGGGUUUUCUGCUUUCCUUUAAAACUUCAUUUAGCUGCUUUCAUAUCUGUCUCACUAGUGGAAUAAAGUUUUUCUAAGAUUUCUGGAAACAUCACUGGAUCAGAAACAUCACCAGCAUGAUGUUGAGAGUUCACCUGUAAAGUGAUAAUCUGACCAGCUCUCAUUAAGGUUGCCAGUCAGAUACUUCCAGAUCACCUCACUUCAUUAGGAAUCUCCCUCUAAUCAAAUAUU